ACAGCUCAAAUUUGAAAUCUGGCCGCAAGGUCCGAGUUGUAAUUUGUAGAGGAUGCUUUUGGCGAGGUGACUUCCGAGUUCCCUGGAACGGGACGCCAUAGAGGGUGAGAGCCCCGUACGGUCGUGCCACCGAGCCUCUGUAAAGCUCCUUCGACGAGUCGAGUAGUUUGGGAAUGCUGCUCUAAAUGGGAGGUGUACGUCUUCUAAAGCUAAAUACCGGCCAGAGACCGAUAGCGCACAAGUAGAGUGAUCGAAAGAUGAAAAGCACUUUGAAAAGAGGGUUAAAAAGUACGUGAAAUUGUUGAAAGGGAAGCAUUCAUGACCAGACUUGGGCUUGGUUGAACAUCCGGCGUUCUCGCCGGUGCACUCUGCCAGCUCAGGCCAGCAUCAGUUUGCCCCGGGGGACAAAGGCGGCGGGAAUGUGGCUCCCUACGGGGAGUGUUAUAGCCCGUCGUGUAAUGCCCUGGGGUGGACUGAGGUUCGCGCUUCGGCACGGAUGCUGGCGUAAUGGUCAUCAAUGACCCGUCUUGAAACACGGACCAAGGAGUCGUCUUCGUAUGCGAGUGUUCGGGUGUCAAACCCCUACGCGUAAUGAAAGUGAACGUAGGUGAGAGCUUCGGCGCAUCACCGACCGAUCCUGAUGUUCUCGGAUGGAUUUGAGUAAGAGCAUACGGGGCCGGACCCGAAAGAAGGUGAACUAUGCCUGUAUAGGGUGAAGCCAGAGGAAACUCUGGUGGAGGCUCGCAGCGGUUCUGACGUGCAAAUCGAUCGUCAAA
RNAcentral lists this ribosomal RNA (776 nucleotides) under Sarocladium sp. RNAcentral describes it as "partial large subunit ribosomal RNA". It matches the Rfam family "Eukaryotic large subunit ribosomal RNA", at positions 104 to 909 of the family's 3401-position model. The record is from RNAcentral. Lineage: Eukaryota; Fungi; Ascomycota; Sordariomycetes; Hypocreales; Sarocladiaceae.